This 478-nucleotide ribosomal RNA is filed under the name uncultured Planctomycetales bacterium. RNAcentral's name for it is "bacterial SSU rRNA". It matches the Rfam family "Bacterial small subunit ribosomal RNA", at positions 364 to 832 of the family's 1533-position model. Lineage: Bacteria; Pseudomonadati; Planctomycetota; Planctomycetia; Planctomycetales. The record is from RNAcentral.
UUUCGCAAUGCCCGAAAGGGUGACGAAGCGACGCCGCGUGUGGGAAGAAGGCCUUCGGGUUGUAAACCACUGUCGGGAGUUAGGAAAUGCAGGUGCGUUAAUAGCGCACUUGCUUGACUAAGGCUCCAGAGGAAGCCACGGCUAACUCUGUGCCAGCAGCCGCGGUAAUACAGAGGCGGCAAGCGUUGUUCGGAAUUAUUGGGCGUAAAGAGCACGUAGGCGGCCUUGCAAGUCAGCUGUGAAAGCCUUCCGCUUAACGGAAGAACGGCAUCUGAUACUACAGGGCUUGAGUACGGGAGGGGAGAGUGGAACUUCUGGUGGAGCGGUGAAAUGCGUAGAUAUCAGAAGGAACGCCGGCGGCGAAAGCGACUCUCUGGUCCGAAACUGACGCUGAGUGUGCGAAAGCUAGGGGAGCAAACGGGAUUAGAUACCCCGGUAGUCCUAGCCGUAAACGAUGGGCACUAAGUAGAGGGGUUUU